UCCCCGCUGCGGCAGGCUCUGAGCCUCUUGGU
This 32-nucleotide non-coding RNA is filed under the name Homo sapiens (human). The record is from RNAcentral. Lineage: Eukaryota; Metazoa; Chordata; Mammalia; Primates; Hominidae.